Camellia sinensis is the source of this 390-nucleotide non-coding RNA. The record is from RefSeq and is a predicted model, not a curated record. NCBI's taxonomy places the organism in Eukaryota, Viridiplantae, Streptophyta, Magnoliopsida, Ericales, Theaceae.
CCCCAUCAUAAUGUGUAUUGAUCCGGUGCAAGCUUGGAUUUGAGGAACAUAUAUCUCCAUGACUCGAAGAAGAAUGACCUUAUGUUUAUGAACUCGGACAAGUUUAGUGACUUCCAGAUCAAAAUUUGCGAGCGAAGAACCAUGUUGGUAAUCAAGAAGGGGAAAUUCUCCUUAGCAAAUUGUUAUUUUCACAUUUUUUGGGUUUUGGGCUUUUAAUAUGAAGACGGAUCUUGUGUUUUAAUAUGAAAUUGUGUAGUCCCAAAUGUGUUUUAAAGUUUAAAAUGUAAUAAAAGAACUUUUUCCAGUUUUUUAGUUGUAAUAACUUUUACAUAUGGCUCCAAUUUUGAGAUUCAAAAGCAAUAUUUGACUAAACUAGAAAGUUAUACUGUU